CAAGGUUUUCCUUUAUUUCCAGGCUUGCAGGGGGCCCCCGCAGGCCCUAAGAGGAGGUCCGUGCUCUGUCUCACUGCCUUGAGUAGAUUUUCUACUUCCUUUUCAAAUCCAGCCACUUCCUGAACCUCUAAACCCCACCUGCUGACAGCAGUCUGCUGGUUCUCUUGGCUAACUCAGCCCUGGUAAUACCUUACUGGUCAUGGAACUGUGGUGUGGAAGGGACAGGAACUGCCCCAGGCACCAGCUUAAGUCAGCUGAGUAGAAAAUAACAGGUUUCAACACAAACAUCUGUACAGACCUCACUCUGGAGAAAUUACUUUGCGUGGAACCCAGGAAAUUAGUUGGAAGAAUUUGUUCACUGUCUCUUUCAAGUUUUAACAGCUUUACUUAAGAACUCAACUAGCAGAUGAUUUCUUUCCAUUGCUUUCUAAAUCAAUCACAAAUGUCUCUUUGAGAAAAGACCAAUGAAAAUUAAGUAGUAGUAAGAAGAGACACACCAGUGAUUGCAAAGUGGAGAGGCUGGCUUCCCUCUGUUAUGGACUGGAUUCUGUACCCCCAAAUUCAUAGGUAAACCCUAACUCUCAAUGUGAUGGUAUUUGGAGAUAGGGCCUUGAAGGAGAUAAUUGAGGUGAAAGGAAAUCAUAAAGGUGGAGCCCUGAGCCAAUAUGACUAGUGUGCUCAUGAGAAGAGGAAGAGACACCAGGGAUGCGCACACCCAGAGAAAAGGCCAUGGGAGGACACAGCAAAAAGGUGGCCAUCUGCAAGCCAAGGAGAGAGGCCUCAGGAGAAAUCAAACCUGCCGACCCCUUGAUCUUGGACUUCCAGCCACCAGAACUGUGAGAAAAUAAAUGUCUGUAGUUUAAAACCACACGAUCUGUGCUAUUUUGUUAUGACAGCCCUAGCAGACUAAUAUAGCCUCCAAGUUAAGAGCCAAACUUCCUGUGAGUGCCCUGUCAUUGACCAAGUGGCUUCUAGAACCACUUCAGCCCAUGACUCCUCCACCAGACAUUGUCAGUGCGAAGAGAGUUUUAGGGCCACAGCCAUGAAGAGCUUGAAUGAAACCAGCAGAGCGUUGCAGGGCAGCCUCUGUUUGACCUUCCACUCGGGAAGGAUUAAUGGCCAGCCCUUUGUGUUAGGAGAGGAUGCUCUGGCCACAUGCAGCCAGACAUGGGGGAGUGUUGUUUCCCAGUUCCAGUGAUAGGUUGGCCUACGCUGGUCUCAUGCUCACACUUGGUUCUCCUAGGUCACAAGUUAGCAGGAAGUAAGCAGGGGGUCAGGGUAGGGCUAUUAUUGUUGGCUGAAGCAUAGACUAGAGCAAUUGAUCUGUACAGUAUUGGACCCACAUCUAACUCUGGGGCCCCAGUUGUCUUGGCUUUUUCCAGCUUUGAUUUCACUGCCUCUCUGAGAGUCAGUUUUUCCUACUAAUGGAAUGUUUUCAAAGUGAGCUCAAGCCCAUGCUCAGUGGGAAAUUCUUCCCUGAAAUCAUUUGUCACAGAAUCAUUUGGCCAUCUAAGACGUUUAUUAUCCUACUUACUGGCAGUAAGUUUCAUAGAAGAGCACAAGAUACUCUGUAGAUUUUUGUUCCCCUUAAAAAGCUGAUAUUCUAGAAUCUGUCCAACAU
This 1621-nucleotide long non-coding RNA is filed under the name Homo sapiens (human). Its description in RNAcentral is "HSALNT0220947". The record is from RNAcentral. Lineage: Eukaryota; Metazoa; Chordata; Mammalia; Primates; Hominidae.